RNAcentral lists this ribosomal RNA (497 nucleotides) under uncultured bacterium. RNAcentral describes it as "partial 16S ribosomal RNA". It matches the Rfam family "Bacterial small subunit ribosomal RNA", at positions 28 to 507 of the family's 1533-position model. The record is from RNAcentral.
GAUGAACGCUGGCGGCGUGCCUAAUACAUGCAAGUCGAGCGAACAGACGAGGAGCUUGCUCCUCUGACGUUAGCGGCGGACGGGUGAGUAACACGUGGAUAACCUACCUAUAAGACUGGGAUAACUUCGGGAAACCGGAGCUAAUACCGGAUAAUAUAUUGAACCGCAUGGUUCAAUAGUGAAAGACGGUUUUGCUGUCACUUAUAGAUGGAUCCGCGCCGCAUUAGCUAGUUGGUAAGGUAACGGCUUACCAAGGCAACGAUGCGUAGCCGACCUGAGAGGGUGAUCGGCCACACUGGAACUGAGACACGGUCCAGACUCCUACGGGACGCAGCAGUAGCGAAUCUUCCGCAAUGGGCGAAAGCCUGACGGAGCAACGCCGCGUGAGUGAUGAAGGUCUUCCGAUCGUAAAACUCUGUUAUUAGGGAAGAACAAAUGUGUAAGUAACUAUGCACGUCUUGACGGUACCUAAUCAGAAAGCCACGGCUAACUACGUG